UACGUAGGGAGCAAGCGUUAUCCGGAAUUAUUGGGUGUAAAGGGUGCGUAGACGGGAUAACAAGUUGGUUGUGAAACCCCUCGGCUCAACUGAGGAGCCGCAACCAAAACUAUUAUUCUUGAGUGCAGGAGAGGAAAGUGGAAUUCCUAGUGUAGCGGUGAAAUGCGUAGAUAUUAGGAAGAACACCGGUGGCGAAGGCGACUUUCUGGACUGUAACUGACGUUGAGGCACGAAAGUGUGGGGAGCAAACAGG
This 253-nucleotide ribosomal RNA is filed under the name uncultured bacterium. Its description in RNAcentral is "partial 16S ribosomal RNA". It matches the Rfam family "Bacterial small subunit ribosomal RNA", at positions 524 to 776 of the family's 1533-position model. The record is from RNAcentral.